AUGGCCGCCAUGAAGGUCGUGCUGAAGCUGGACCUGCACGACGACAAGCAGAAGCAGAAGGCCAUCAAGGUCGUCUCCACUCUCCACGGCAUCGACCAGAUCGCCGUGGACACCAAGGACGACAAGAUGACGGUGGUCGGCACCGUCGACCCCGUCCACGUCGUCGGCAAGCUGCGCAGCAAGCUCUUCCGCACGGCACAGAUCGUCUCCGUCGGCCCGGCCAAGGACGAGAAGGACGGCGCCGCUAAGAAGGAACCCAUCACUGUGUACGCGCCGUGGUACCCGCCGCCGCCGUACCACUACCACCCGCACCCGUACUAUCACAACCACAGCGCCGAGGAGGAUCCCAGCUCCUGCGUCAUCUGCUGA
This 369-nucleotide ribosomal RNA is filed under the name Triticum aestivum (bread wheat). RNAcentral describes it as "partial small subunit ribosomal RNA". The record is from RNAcentral. Lineage: Eukaryota; Viridiplantae; Streptophyta; Magnoliopsida; Poales; Poaceae.